RNAcentral lists this ribosomal RNA (423 nucleotides) under uncultured eukaryotic phytoplankton. RNAcentral's name for it is "bacterial SSU rRNA". It matches the Rfam family "Bacterial small subunit ribosomal RNA", at positions 358 to 795 of the family's 1533-position model. The record is from RNAcentral.
GGAAUUUUCCGCAAUGGGCGAAAGCCUGACGGAGCAAUACCGCGUGAGGGAAGACGGCCUAUGGGUUGUAAACCUCUUUUUUCAGGGAGGAAUCAAUGACGUGUACCUGAAGAAUAAGCAUCGGCUAACUCCGUGCCAGCAGCCGCGGUAAGACGGAGGAUGCAAGUGUUAUCCGGAAUCACUGGGCGUAAAGCGUCUGUAGGUGGUUGAACAAGUCAACUGUUAAAUCUUGAGGCUUAACUUCAAAAUCGCAGUCGAAACUGUUUGACUAGAGUAUAGUAGGGGUAAAGGGAAUUUCCAGUGGAGUGGUGAAAUGCGUAGAUAUUGGAAAGAACACCGAUGGCGAAGGCACUUUACUGGGCUAUUACUGACACUCAGAGACGAAAGCUAGGGUAGCAAAUGGGAUUAGAUACCCCAGUAGUC